Molecule: ribosomal RNA, 397 nt
Filed under: uncultured bacterium
Lineage: Bacteria
Description: bacterial SSU rRNA
Rfam family: Bacterial small subunit ribosomal RNA
Source: RNAcentral
CCUGUAGCAAUACAGGAGUGGCGCACGGGUGAGUAACGCGUGGGAACCUGCCCUGGAGUGGGGGAUAACCGAGAGAAAUUUCGGCUAAUACCGCAUACGACCUGAGGGUGAAAGAUUUAUCGCUCUAGGAGGGGCCCGCGUCGGAUUAGCUAGUUGGUGGGGUAAUGGCCUACCAAGGCUACGAUCCGUAGCUGGUCUGAGAGGAUGAUCAGCCACACUGGGACUGAGACACGGCCCAGACUCCUACGGGAGGCAGCAGUGGGGAAUAUUGGACAAUGGGGGCAACCCUGAUCCAGCAAUGCCGCGUGAGUGAUGAAGGCCUUAGGGUUGUAAAGCUCUUUCGGCGGGGACGAUGAUGACGGUACCCGCAGAAGAAGCCCCGGCUAACUUCGUGCCA